ACCAAAAGGACAGUGUGUCUAGAGAUGUAUUUAUUUACAUAGUACUUUUUGUCUGUAUCAUUCUAAGCACCAUAUCAUGGGUUCCCUGGUGGUCUCCCAUCUGGGCACCUCAGGACACCUGCCAAGUGUCCCUAUUUUCAAGGGACAGCCCCAUUGUGACACCUCCCUCUGCUGGCUCACUGGUCACCAGAGUGCAAAAAGGCCUGGUGAACUCCUAUGGUUGGAUCAUUUCGUGUUUCUUCCAGGAAGAAGAUAGACAUGCUGUGAAGAGCAAUUUCGCGGAUGGCGAGAAAAAAUAAAGUGUGCCCUCUCCCCGAGUCCUCCCCCCCCCGCCCCGCUGCAGGCCCCUUUUCGAAAGGACUUCAAAGGCUCCACGUACUUCCUGGCCGCCUCAGGCAAAAGAGAAGGAAAGUCCACCUGAAGAUGAUCUGAUCAUCGAAGACCUCGAGGAGGAGCAGGCGGAGACUGGAGGAAGAAACACCAAGGAAAACAUGAAGUGGCUGAUCUGGAAGAAGAUGGCAGGAGGAAGAAAGAACAAGGAAAACAUGAAAGUGUGGCAUAUUUACAGCACAAUCCUAUGCAUGUCUACUCAGAAGUAAGCCCUGUUGACUUCAAUGAGGGUUACUCCCAAAUAAGUGGGUAUAGGAUUGUGGAUUCAUACCAACAGAGGAGUGGCUUUUGAUUUAAGUGUCUCACCAGCUAUGGACUAGUUAAUGCAAAGAAGUGACUAACAGUAUAAACUUAAUGAUGUCUACUCAGAACUAAGUCCUUGUGAAUUCCAUGGGGCUUACUCCGAAGUAAAUGGACGGAGAAGUAAUUACAUGUAAGAAUGCCAGGUAAAACGAUGAGAAUAAUCUCAGAAUAAUUGCUACCACUAAUAUUGCAGUAGCAUCCAGCACAAUUCUAUAUACUCAGAAGCAAGUCCUGCUGAAUGCAGUGGCUCUUACUCCCGGGUAAGUGCAGUUUAGGAUUUCACCCUCGGGAAAUCAGUUUUCAGCCAGUGGUCAUUCAUACUAUCCCAGCCUCUUAUUGGGGUCCCCGCCUUCUAUUUUAGCCUUAUGGUUAUAAAGUGGCCAUGAUAAAUAUGGAUUAUAUGAAUCUACAGAUAUGUAGAUAGUAACUACUCUUAUAAGGCACAGUGAAGAAAUAAGAAAUAAGCAGGGGGGUAGCUGCCUCCCUAAAUAAAGUAAAUAAAUAAAAAUACUUUGCUAAUUGACUAAUAGCACCUGGUUCUGCCCCUUACCUACUACGCUGCCUUAUCCCGAGUCAAACCACUACACUUCCCAGCAGCGAUAGCUUUCCAGGGAUUUAGACAGGAGCUUGGCCCACUCUAACUCCCAGGUGCUGAACCUGAGGCUCUCUGCACAGAAAGCAGACACUCCAUCCACAGAGCCAGAUUGCCCCCCCCCCACAACAGCGCAGGACCAGGGGGUGCAAGCAUUGUGCCUCUCC
Molecule: non-coding RNA, 1452 nt
Organism: Podarcis muralis (Common wall lizard)
Lineage: Eukaryota; Metazoa; Chordata; Lepidosauria; Squamata; Lacertidae
Source: RefSeq, a predicted model, not a curated record